RNAcentral lists this ribosomal RNA (262 nucleotides) under uncultured archaeon. RNAcentral describes it as "partial 16S ribosomal RNA". It matches the Rfam family "Archaeal small subunit ribosomal RNA", at positions 748 to 1009 of the family's 1478-position model. The record is from RNAcentral.
UAGCCGUAAACGAAUACUCGCUAGGUGUCGGCCACGGUGCGACCGUUGUCGGUGCCGUAGGGAAGCCGUGAAGCGAGCCACCUGGGAAGUACGGCCACAAGGCUGAAACUUAAAGGAAUUGGCGGGGGAGCACAACAACGGGUGGAGCUUGCGGUUUAAUUGGAUUCAACGCCGGAAAUCUUACCGGGACCGACAGCAACAUGAAGGCCAAGCUGAAGACUUUGCCGGAUUAGCUGAGAGGUGGUGCAUGGCGUAGUCGUGU